Molecule: ribosomal RNA, 1436 nt
Filed under: metagenome
Description: bacterial LSU rRNA
Rfam family: Bacterial large subunit ribosomal RNA
Source: RNAcentral
UGUGGCAGUGAGGCUGUGGGCGCUAAGGUCCAUGGCCGAGAGGGAAAUAACCCAGACUAUCAUCUAAGGUCCCUAAAUCUAUGUUAAGUUGAUCAAACGAAGUUCGAACCCUAAGACAGCCAGGAUGUUGGCUUGGAAGCAGCCAUUCAUUUAAAGAGUGCGUAACAGCUCACUGGUCGAGGGUUCGGGCACGGAAAAUAAUCGGGCAUCAAACAUAGUACCGAAGAUAUAGACUCCGUAAGGAGUGGUAGGGGAGCAUUCCAAACAGCGUUGAAGGUGUUUCGUGAGAAAUGCUGGAGCGUUUGGGAAAGAAAAUGUAGGUAUAAGUAACGAUAAAAGCAGUGAAAAACUGCUUCGCCGAAAGACUAAGGGUUCCUGAUCAACGUUAAUCGGAUCAGGGUUAGCCGGGACCUAAGGCAAACCCGAAAGGGGUAGUCGAUGGAAAGCUGUUUAAUAUUACAGCGCGUUUUUUAGUUUCGAUGGAGUGACGGAGAAGUGAAAGAUCCGCGGGGCAACGGAAGUUCCCGUUAAAGGGUGUAGUUAUAUUCUGGGUAGGCAAAUCCGCCCGGGAUGAUGAACCUGAUAGUACUCAAAGGUUUCGGCCGGCGAGAUAGUGAUCCUAAUCAUGCUCACGAGAAAAACUUCUAAGUUAUGACUAAAAAACCCCGUACCGUAAACCGACACAGGUAGUCGAGAUGAGUAUUCUAAGGCGCUCGGGUGAGCCGUGGAGAAGGAACUAGGCAAAUUAAUGCUGUAACUUCGGGAUAAAGCAUACCACAGUAAUGUGGUCUCAGUAAAUUGGUUCAACCAACUGUUUAGCAAAAACACAGGGCCCUGCAAAUUCGAAAGAAGACGUAUAGAGCCUGAUACCUGCCCGGUGCUGGAAGGUUAAGGAAGCUUGUCAGGAGUUAAAUCUGAAGCUUGCGACUGAAGCCCCAGUAAACGGCGGCCGUAACAAUAACGGUCCUAAGGUAGCGAAAUUCCUUGUCGGGUAAGUUCCGACCUGCACGAAUGGUCUAAUGAGUUGAACACUGUCUCCUCCACGAGCCCGGUGAAAUUGUAGUAUCGGUGAAGAUGCCGGUUACCCGCCACGGGACGGAAAGACCCCGUGAACCUUCACUACAACUUUGCAUUGAUUUUGAGUAACAGAUGUGUAGCAUAGUUGGGAGACUAUGAAGCGGCUGCGCCAGCAGUCGUGGAGUCACCGUUGAAAUACCAACCUUCUGUUACUUAGAGUCUAACCCGCGAGGGGACAUUGCAUGGUGGGUAGUUUGACUGGGGUGGUCGCCUCCUAAAGUGUAACGGAGGCUCGCAAAGGUACCCUCAGUACGGUUGGUAAUCGUACGUAGAGCGCAUUAGUAAAAGGGUGCUUGACUGUGAGGCUGACCAGCCGAGCAGGUGCGAAAGCAGGCUAAAGUGAUCCGGUGGUUCUCUAU